AGCGAACGCUGGCGGCAGGCUUAACACAUGCAAGUCGAGCGGGCGUAGCAAUACGUCAGCGGCAGACGGGUGAGUAACGCGUGGGAACAUACCUUUUGGUUCGGAACAACACAGGGAAACUUGUGCUAAUACCGGAUAAGCCCUUACGGGGAAAGAUUUAUCGCCGAAAGAUUGGCCCGCGUCUGAUUAGCUAGUUGGUGAGGUAACGGCUCACCAAGGCGACGAUCAGUAGCGGUCUGAGAGGAUGAUCAGCCACAUUGGGACUGAGACAUGGCCCAAACUCCUACGGGAGGCAGCAGUGGGGAAUAUUGGACAAUGGGCGGCAAGCCUGAUCCAGCCGUGCCGCGUGAGUGAUGAAGGCCCUAGGGUUGUAAAGCUCUUUUGUGCGGGAAGAUAAUGACGGUACCGCAAGAAUAAGCCCCGGCUAACUUCGUGCCAGCCGCCGCUGUAAC
Molecule: ribosomal RNA, 452 nt
Filed under: uncultured bacterium
Lineage: Bacteria
Description: bacterial SSU rRNA
Rfam family: Bacterial small subunit ribosomal RNA
Source: RNAcentral